This 417-nucleotide unclassified non-coding RNA is filed under the name Bombus terrestris (buff-tailed bumblebee). RNAcentral describes it as "misc RNA ENSBTSG00005039074.1". Lineage: Eukaryota; Metazoa; Arthropoda; Insecta; Hymenoptera; Apidae. The record is from RNAcentral.
GUCGAUAGAGCCUAAUUGAUGGUAGCGAUAACAAUCUGGAAAAUAAAAAUUUGCAAUAAAAAGCAAAGCAAUGUCCAAUUAAAAAUUUAAUGACGUCAAGCGCAAUACUUAGUUUAACCAAGGCAAUUUAUGUGAAUAUUAUCAAAUACGUAAUUAGCGUUCGACUCUUCGAGGAACAAACGACUAAUAAAUUUAUCCAUAAAUUUAUUUAUCCUAAGAAGAUAACACAAAUAACCGUAAAUUUCAUGGACAAUUUUGAAUAAUACUAUAGGCAAUUUUACUCUGUAAUACCAUUACUGUCACUUACUUUUUAAUUUAUGAAGUUGAUCAACAUCGCUUGUCAAGCGAUUCAUUAUUAUAAACAUCUCUAAUGGUAAAUUCCGAGGAAAAUUUCAGCAGAUAAUUAUUACUUUCAAU